AGCAAUCGAUGAUGUAAAUCAUUAUCAUUCCUGAUUUAUUUAUAACGAUUAUAUAACAGUCACCUUCUUUCGGCUGAGAUUGCU
Molecule: small nucleolar RNA, 84 nt
Organism: Hibiscus syriacus
Lineage: Eukaryota; Viridiplantae; Streptophyta; Magnoliopsida; Malvales; Malvaceae
Source: RefSeq, a predicted model, not a curated record